Molecule: non-coding RNA, 417 nt
Organism: Sebastes umbrosus (honeycomb rockfish)
Lineage: Eukaryota; Metazoa; Chordata; Actinopteri; Perciformes; Sebastidae
Source: the annotation of a RefSeq genome assembly
AUGACUCUCAUCACCAUCCUCAUCUGGACGCUGGCCUGCUGCUGUUUUACAGGAUGCAGCGGUCAGGUGACUGUGACUCAGCCUCCAGUAGUGACAUCUACUCCAGGAUCCACCGUCUCUCUCACCUGUAAGACCAGCCAAGCUGUUUACAAAGACAGUGAUGAUGCUGAUUAUUUUACGUUAGGUAAUGAUGAUGAAGAAGAUAUGCACUGGUAUCAACAGAAAUCUGGACAGGCUCCAAAGCUUCUAAUAAAACUUGUGAGCACACGUGAAUCAGGAACAGCAGCUCGGUUUAGUGGCAGUGGAAGCAGCUCUGACUUCACUUUGACCAUCAGUGGAGUUCAGAGUGAAGACGCAGCAGUUUAUUACUGUCAGAGUGCCCAUAUCAUAAACAGUGCUGCUGUGUUCACACAGUGA